GAUGAACGCUAGCGGCAGGCUUAACACAUGCAAGUCGAGGGGUAGGAGAAGCUUGCUUUUCUGAGACCGGCGCACGGGUGCGUAACGCGUAUGCAAUCUACCUUUCACAGAGGGAUAGCCCAGAGAAAUUUGGAUUAAUACCUCAUAGUAUAAUUGAAUGGCAUCAUUUAAUUAUUAAAGAUUUAUCGGUGAAAGAUGAGCAUGCGUCCCAUUAGCUAGUUGGUAUGGUAACGGCAUACCAAGGCAACGAUGGGUAGGGGUCCUGAGAGGGAGAUCCCCCACACUGGUACUGAGACACGGACCAGACUCCUACGGGAGGCAGCAGUGAGGAAUAUUGGACAAUGGGCGCAAGCCUGAUCCAGCCAUGCCGCGUGCAGGAUGACGGUCCUAUGGAUUGUAAACUGCUUUUAUACAGGAAGAAACACUCCCUCGUGAGGGAGCUUGACGGUACUGUAAGAAUAAGGAUCGGCUAACUCCGUGCCAGCAGCCGCGGUAAUACGGAGGAUCCAAGCGUUAUCCGGAAUCAUUGGGUUUAAAGGGUCCGUAGGCGGUCAGGUAAGUCAGUGGUGAAAGCCCAUCGCUCAACGGUGGAACGGCCAUUGAUACUGUCUGACUUGAAUUAUUAGGAAGUAACUAGAAUAUGUAGUGUAGCGGUGAAAUGCUUAGAGAUUACAUGGAAUACCAAUUGCGAAGGCAGGUUACUACUAAUUGAUUGACGCUGAUGGACGAAAGCGUGGGUAGCGAACAGGAUUAGAUACCCUGGUAGUCCACGCCGUAAACGAUGGAUACUAGCUGUUGGGAGCAAUCUCAGUGGCUAAGCGAAAGUGAUAAGUAUCCCACCUGGGGAGUACGAACGCAAGUUUGAAACUCAAAGGAAUUGACGGGGGCCCGCACAAGCGGUGGAGCAUGUGGUUUAAUUCGAUGAUACGCGAGGAACCUUACCAAGGCUUAAAUGUAGAUUGACCGGUUGGAAACAGACU
This 980-nucleotide ribosomal RNA is filed under the name uncultured bacterium. Its description in RNAcentral is "bacterial SSU rRNA". It matches the Rfam family "Bacterial small subunit ribosomal RNA", at positions 28 to 1012 of the family's 1533-position model. The record is from RNAcentral.